ACUCCUACGGGAGGCAGCAGUGGGGAAUCUUGUGCAAUGGGCGAAAGCCUGACACAGCGACGCCGCGUGAGGGAAGAAGGCCUUCGGGUUGUAAACCUCUUUCAGCAGGGACGAAAAUGACGGUACCUGCAGAAGAAGCCCCGGCCAACUACGUGCCAGCAGCCGCGGUAAUA
RNAcentral lists this ribosomal RNA (173 nucleotides) under uncultured bacterium. RNAcentral describes it as "partial 16S ribosomal RNA". It matches the Rfam family "Bacterial small subunit ribosomal RNA", at positions 335 to 525 of the family's 1533-position model. The record is from RNAcentral.